AAUAGAUACCCUGGUAGUCCACCCCGUAAACCGUUGGGAACUAGUUGUGGGGUCCUUUCCACGGAUUCCGUGACGCAGCUAACGCAUUAAGUUCCCCGCCUGGGGAGUACGGCCGCAAGGCUAAAACUCAAAGGAAUUGACGGGGACCCGCACAAGCGGCGGAGCAUGCGGAUUAAUUCGAUGCAACGCGAAGAACCUUACCAAGGCUUGACAUACACCAGAACACCCUAGAAAUAGGGGACUCUUUGGACACUGGUGAACAGGUGGUGCAUGGUUGUCGUCAGCUCGUGUCGUGAGAUGUUGGGUUAAGUCCCGCAACGAGCGCAACCCUCGUUCUAUGUUGCCAGCACGUAAUGGUGGGAACUCAUGGGAUACUGCCGGGGUCAACUCGGAGGAAGGUGGGGAUGACGUCAAAUCAUCAUGCCCCUUAUGUCUUGGGCUUCACGCAUGCUACAAUGGCCGGUACAAAGGGCUGCAAUACCGUGAGGUGGAGCGAAUCCCAAAAACGCCGGUCCCAGUUCGGAUUGAGGUCUGCAACUCGACCUC
This 546-nucleotide ribosomal RNA is filed under the name uncultured bacterium. Its description in RNAcentral is "bacterial SSU rRNA". It matches the Rfam family "Bacterial small subunit ribosomal RNA", at positions 777 to 1319 of the family's 1533-position model. The record is from RNAcentral.